Molecule: ribosomal RNA, 429 nt
Filed under: Actinomycetes bacterium
Lineage: Bacteria; Bacillati; Actinomycetota; Actinomycetes
Description: Actinobacteria bacterium partial 16S ribosomal RNA
Rfam family: Bacterial small subunit ribosomal RNA
Source: RNAcentral
UAGGGAAUCUUCCGCAAUGGGCGAAAGCCUGACGGAGCAACGCCGCGUGAGUGAUGAAGGUCUUCGGAUCGUAAAACUCUGUUAUUAGGGAAGAACAAAUGUGUAAGUAACUAUGCACGUCUUGACGGUACCUAAUCAGAAAGCCACGGCUAACUACGUGCCAGCAGCCGCGGUAAUACGUAGGUGGCAAGCGUUAUCCGGAAUUAUUGGGCGUAAAGCGCGCGUAGGCGGUUUUUUAAGUCUGAUGUGAAAGCCCACGGCUCAACCGUGGAGGGUCAUUGGCAACUUGAGAACUUGAGUGCAGAAGAGGAAAGUGGAAUUCCAUGUGUAGCGGUGAAAUGCGCAGAGAUAUGGAGGAACACCAGUGGCGAAGGCGACUUUCUGGUCUGUUACUGACGCUGAUGUGCGAAAGCGGGGGGAUCAAACAGG